GUAGGUGGCAAGCGUUGUCCGGAAUUAUUGGGCGUAAAGCGCGCGCAGGCGGGGGUUUUUAAGUCUGAUGUGAAAGCCCACGGGCUCAACCGUGGAGGGUCAUUGGAAACUGGAGAACUUGAGUACAGAGGAGGAAAGCGGAAUUCCACGUGUAGCGGUGAAAUGCGUAGAGAUGUGGAGGAACACCAGUGGCGAAGGCGGCUUUCUGGUCUGUAACUGACGCUGAGGCGCGAAAGCGUGGGGAGCAAACAGGAUUAGAUACCCUGGUAGUCCACGCCGUAAACGAUGAGUGCUAAGUGUUAGGGGGUUUCCGCCCCUUAGUGCUGCAGCUAACGCAUUAAGCACUCCGCCUGGGGAGUACGGCCGCAAGGCUG
RNAcentral lists this ribosomal RNA (374 nucleotides) under uncultured organism. RNAcentral's name for it is "partial 16S ribosomal RNA". It matches the Rfam family "Bacterial small subunit ribosomal RNA", at positions 527 to 896 of the family's 1533-position model. The record is from RNAcentral.